This 408-nucleotide ribosomal RNA is filed under the name uncultured bacterium. Its description in RNAcentral is "partial 16S ribosomal RNA". It matches the Rfam family "Bacterial small subunit ribosomal RNA", at positions 29 to 526 of the family's 1533-position model. The record is from RNAcentral.
AGUGAACGCUGGCGGCGUGCCUAAUACAUGCAAGUCGAACGGCGUGGCGCACGGGUGUGUAAUAUAUCGCUAAUCUUCCCCUUUCUGGAGGGCAAACGUUAGGAAUGACUGCUAAUACUCCAUAUCACGUGAUGAGACUAUAUCUUAUCAGCUAGGCGGUGGGGUAACGGCCUACCGAGGCUAUGACGAGUAACUGGUCUGAGAGGAUGAGCAGGCAAAUGGGAAGGGAGACACGGUCCAAACUCAUACGGGAGGCAGCAGUAGGGAAUAUUGCGCAAUGGGCGAAUCUCUGACGCAGCAACGGCGCGUGGAGGAUGACACUUGUAGGAGCGGAAACUCCUUUUGUUAGGGAAGCGUUACCUAAAGAAUAAGCACCGGCUAACUCCGUGCCAGCAGCCGCGGUAAUUC